RNAcentral lists this non-coding RNA (99 nucleotides) under Lotharella globosa. The record is from RNAcentral. Lineage: Eukaryota; Cercozoa; Chlorarachniophyceae.
UUACUUUUUAUUUUUAUUUUCUUUUUUUUUUUUGCCUCUCGCAACCUCUUAAAACUCAUGCGUUGUGGGCACUUGUAAAUACGUAUGCAGGUCAGAUUC